CAAGGAAAGUUAACUCUCAAUACUAACAAUAAAUAAAUGUCUGUUCAUUUGUUUGUCAGGAGUUUAUAAAGUAAAAAGUAGUUUUAUUGAAAUUUCAAAAGCUUCAACAGGCCAGAGUGUCUGUUUUGGGGAGUGCUGCAUGCUGGAGAUGCUAACCUAACUAGCGUUAGCUAACAAGUAAAGAUCACCUCCUUCACCAGUCAAUCCAGACAUCUGCACCUACUGCUGUCACAGAGAAAACUGAGCACGGGAUCUUUGGGAUGACAGCAGGACAGAGUGACAGAGGGCAGGUCAGAGGAGAGAGAGAGGGAAAGAGAGAGAGUGAAAGAGUGAGAGCUAAAAGAGUAAGAGAACGCUGGAAUGGAACAGUGCCCUGCGAGAGGAGCUGCGCAGUAAAGGCGGCUGGAAGCUACUCUAAUGUACAUCUCGACAACUUUUCUCCUACCCCUUCCUCCUUUGUCCUAUGCUGUCCUAUGGUGUCCUAGUGUCGGGUGUGACAAAGAAUGUGAACUCUGGUAAAAUAUGACAACCAGCGUCAAUAGGUAGUUGUUACCUGAUUAAAUGAAUGCUGUGAUAUUGGGUGAACAAAAUUCAAUAACAAAUGUAGGGUGACAUCUAAUACUAAAGUCAAUUUGAGUACAGUACUGAAAUAUGAAG
Long non-coding RNA from Astyanax mexicanus (Mexican tetra), 657 nucleotides. RefSeq lists it as uncharacterized. The transcript is spliced from 3 exons. The record is from RefSeq and is a predicted model, not a curated record. Lineage: Eukaryota; Metazoa; Chordata; Actinopteri; Characiformes; Acestrorhamphidae.